Molecule: ribosomal RNA, 446 nt
Filed under: uncultured bacterium
Lineage: Bacteria
Description: partial 16S ribosomal RNA
Rfam family: Bacterial small subunit ribosomal RNA
Source: RNAcentral
CCUACGGGUGGCUGCAGUCGAGAAUCAUUCACAAUGGGGGAAACCCUGAUGCUGCGACGCCGCGUGGGGGAAUGAAGGUCUUCGGAUUGUAAACCCCUGUCAUGUGGGCGCAAAUUAAAAAGAUAGUACCACAAGAGGAAGAGACGGCUAACUCGGUGCCAGCAGCCGCGGUAAUACAGAGGUCUCAAGCGUUGUUCGGAAUCACUGGGCGUAAAGCGUGCGUAGUCUGUUUCGGAAGUCGGGUGUGAAAGGCGGGGGCUCAACCCGCGGACGGCACAUGAUACUGCGAGACUAGAGUAAUGGAGGGGGAAGAGGAAUUCUCGGUGUAGCAGUGAAAUGAGUAGAUAUCGAGAGGAACACUCGUGGCGAAGGCGGGUUCCUGGACAGUAACUGACGCUGAGGCACGAAGGCCAGGGGAGCGAAAGGGAUUAGAUACCCGUGUAGUC